RNAcentral lists this ribosomal RNA (786 nucleotides) under uncultured archaeon. Its description in RNAcentral is "bacterial SSU rRNA". It matches the Rfam family "Archaeal small subunit ribosomal RNA", at positions 85 to 876 of the family's 1478-position model. The record is from RNAcentral.
ACGGCUCAGUAACACGUGGAUAACCUGCCCUAAGGAAGGGGAUAACCUCGGGAAACUGAGGAUAAUACCCUAUAGGUUACAGACGCUGGAAUGCCCUGUAACCGAAAGCUCCGGCGCCUUAGGAUGGAUCUGCGGCCGAUUAGGUUGUUGUUGGGGUAACGGCCCAACAAGCCGAUAAUCGGUACGGGUUGUGGGAGCAAGAGCCCGGAGUUGGAUUCUGAGACACGAAUCCAGGCCCUACGGGGCGCAGCAGGCGCGAAAACUUUACAAUGCGGGAAACCGUGAUAAGGGAACCUCGAGUGCCUGUAUAUGCAGGCUGUCCAGGUGUCUAAAAAACACCUGAAGAAAGGGCCGGGCGAGACCGGUGCCAGCCGCCGCGGUAAUACCGGCGGCUCGAGUGGUGGCCACUUUUAUUGGGCUUAAAGCGUUCGUAGCUGGGUUGUUAAGUCUCUUGGGAAAUCUGACGGCUCAACCGUCAGGCGUCCAAGGGAUACUGGCAAUCUUGGAACCGGGAGAGGUGAGGGGUACUUCGGGGGUAGGAGUGAAAUCCUGUAAUCCUCGAGGGACCACCUGUGGCGAAGGCGCCUCACCAGAACGGCUUCGACAGUGAGGGACGAAAGCUGGGGGAGCAAACCGGAUUAGAUACCCGGGUAGUCCCAGCCCUAAACGAUGCGCGUUAGGUGUAUCGGUGACCACGAGUCACCGAGGUGCCGAAGGGAAACCGUGAAACGUGCCGCCUGGGAAGUACGGUCGCAAGGCUGAAACUUAAAGGAAUUGGCGGGGGAG